CUGGAUAUCCAAACUUCCUGCAUAGCCAACAUGAUUUGGUGUUUGUUGAUCUAUCCCACAACAAAUUCGUUGGAGAACCUUUCCCAUCUUGGCUGUUUGAGAAUAAUACAAAGUUAAAUCGACUAUAUUUGAGAGACACCUCAUUUAUAGGUGGUCCUUUGCAGCUGCCACAACAUCCAAAACCCAACCUUCACACAGUAGAUAUUUCUGGCAACAACAUACAUGGUCAAGUUCCAAGAAACAUAUGUUCGAUUUUUCCACGUUUGAAGAACUUCAUGAUGGCCAACAACAACCUCACUGGUUGUAUUCCUCUUUGUUUUGGGAAUAUGAGCUCUCUCGAAUACUUGGAUCUUUCCAACAAUCACAUGUCUUGUGAACUACUUGAGCAUAAUUUUCCAACAAUCACAUGGUUUUUGAAGCUGUCCAACAACAGCUUCAAUGGGCGAUUACCACCAUCUGUGUUCAACAUGACUGGCCUAUACUACCUCCUUCUAGAUGGAAACAAAUUUGUAGGAGAAGUACCAGGUACUUUUUCUCUUGAAUCAUCACUUUUGUGGUUGGAUAUCAGUAACAAUCUUUUGUCAGGCAUGCUUCCAAGGGGAAUAUUCUUAGAGGGAAUUGAUUUGUCCAGAAAUCAUUUUGAAGGUACCAUUCCAAUAGAAUAUUUCAAUUCUUCCAGGCUUGAAUUUUUAGAUCUUUCUGAAAACAAUCUGUCUGGGUCAUUACCGUUGGGCUUCCGUGCACCAUAUUUACUCUAUGUCCACCUAUACGGAAAUAGAUUGAGCGGUCCACUGCCAUAUGAUUUUUAUAAUCUCUCUUCGUUGGUGACGUUAGAUCUCGGCGAUAACAACUUAACUGGGCCCAUUCCAAAUUGGAUUGAUAGCCUUUCGGAAUUGAGCAUUUUUGUUCUCAAAUCUAAUCAAUUCAAUGGGAAACUUCCUCAUCAGUUAUGCUUGUUAAGGAAAUUAAGCAUAUUGGAUCUUUCAGAAAAUAAUUUUUCUGGUCUGUUACCCUCAUGUUUGAGCAAUUUAAAUUUUACGGCAUCAGACGAAAAAACUUCAGUUGAACAUGUUACGACGUCAGACACAGAUUAUGGAGACCUGAAAGAAUUAUUUGCAUCCAUUGGUUUUUAUCUUUAUGACAAAACUAUGUUGCCAGAGAUCAAUACAAAAAUAGCUGUGGAGCUUACAGAAAAGAAAAAUUUCUACACUUACGAAGGCGAUAUCCUUCGUUACAUGUUUGUUGUGGAUCUUUCUUGUAACAGAUUCACCGGAGAAAUCCCGACAGAAUGGGGAAACUUAAGUGGGAUAUAUUCUCUAAAUCUGUCACAUAAUAAUCUCACUGGAUUGAUCCCUUCAUCCUUCUUCAAUCUAAAGCAGAUAGAGAGCUUGGAUCUUUCUCACAACAAUUUGAAUGGAAGAAUUCCUGCACAACUCGUUGAACUGACCUUUCUAGCUAUUUUCAACGUGUCGUACAAUAAUUUGUCAGGAAGAACACCGGAGAUGAAAAAUCAAUUUGGUACCUUUGAUGAGAGCAGUUAUAAAGGGAAUCCUCUUCUUUGUGGACCUCCAUUGCAAAAUAGUUGCGACAAAACAGAAUCACCAUCAGCAAGAGUGCCUAACGAUUUCAAUGGAGAUGGUGGCUUCAUAGACAUGUACAGUUUCUAUGUCAGCUUUGGUGUGUGUUACAUAAUUGCGGUGUUGACAAUUGCAGCAGUACUGUGCAUAAAUUCGCAUUGGCGACGCAGGUGGUUUUACUUCAUUGAAGAAUGCAUUGACACUUGCUACUGCUUUUUGGCUAUAAACUUUCGCAAGUUGUCCAGAUUCAGAAGGUGAUUGGGUCUUAUCAUGAGCAUGCGGGCUGCUUUCUGAAAUUGUUGCAAUCCUCCAUGGGGAAGCAGUCGCAUUCCAAAUCAAGGGUUGCUCACAACAUGUUUAGCAAUUUGCCUGUGAGAAGUGUUCUGUCGAAGUGUCUGGUUCUUGUUGCUUAGCCUUUCUGUUUUGACAUGACUUGUGUUUGUCCUUGUGCUUGUAUCCAUAUUUGUUUGUUUCUUUGUUAUGUCUUAAUUAUGUGGCGUUUUGGUCUUAGAUUUGGAGAAUGAGCAACCAACCAGUAUUUCUUGGCUUCUUGUGAUUACUAUAUCCCUAAUAAUAUGGAAUUUAUUCACUAGAAAUAGUUUACAAUAUCGUAUUUUCUCAAUUAAAAAAAUAAUAAUAGAACCAAAAGAUCAUAACAGCAAGGUGAUAUGUGGUUCUAUAAUAAUUUUGUUUGCUGAAAAAACACAAGUCUAAACUUAAAACAAGGCAAUGGCAUAAUCUGUCUUCCUUGCAAUAAUGUGCUUGAUUGCUCGUAUUUAGACCUCCUCUCCUGUCCUGUUUGCCUCAUCCAUGUAAAAAGCAAAUAAACAAACAUAAAGUUCGAUACUUUUAAUUGAAUUGAAUUGCCAAUAAGUUCUUUGUCCAUUUGAACAGAGGAUUUAACUUUCAUGUAUACCCUUUUUAAGAAUAUAGUUAGCUUAAUUUGUCAUAAUGAAAAUGAUCUUAACUUGAAGCUUCGGUAGCUAAACUCUAAGCAGUUCCGGCUUCCUUAAUUUCUCUCUCCAGAGGUAUCUUUUUCUAGUAGAACUCCAACCUUCUGACCUCCAAGAUGGACUCAAUUUGGAAGAAUUUGUGUUAGCCCUACACAUAUUUUGUAUGUUAGCUAUCUUACAGUAUGUUAGCUUUGUAUAGUUGCAGUGGAGAUUAUAGUAUCUUACAGUAUGUUAGCUUUGAUGAGUUGCAGUUGACAGGAUUUACUGGUAUCAAUAGUAAGUUACAUUCUUUUAUACGGUUUCUUUAUCAAGAAAAUUGAGGACUUUAUAUCUAUUUAACGAUCAAUAUAAUGAUAGCACUUCAUCAUGUUUGACUGAGCUUUCAUCCCUGAAGAUUUAUAUCUAUGGAGCUUUCAACUUAUCCAUAAAUUGUUUUUUUUUUAUAUAUAUAAUUUAACGUGGGUGUCCGGGCCAACUUGCGCGCACCUCGACUAAAGUGAUUAAAGUGAGCUGGACCAAAAUUAGAAUGAUUAAAAAUUACGAGUGACGAUGUAUAGAACGGAUACUUGCAAUCUAUCUUCUUCCUUAAUCUAUGCACUGUAUAUUUUUUUGAUGUAAAAUUUGAGAAUUAUAUAUAUAUAUAUAUAUAUAUAUAUGUUAUAGGUUUUCAACUCCAACCGAUGAGGCUGGGAAAGUUAGAGAACCUUAACCUGAGUGCCAAUCAAUUGAACAGUAGCAUCUUAUCAAUUCUGAGUGUGCUUUCAUUGGAUCUAUCAUUAAAUAAGUUGACAGGAUCAGGUAUAAUACACAGUUUCUAUCUAAUUGCUUCACUUGACAUUCUCUUAAUUAUAUUGUUUCUUUAUCAAGAAAAAUGAGGACUUUAUAUCUAUGUAAUGAUAAAUUUAAUGAUAGCAUUUUAUCUUGUUAGACUUAAAGACUUCAUAUCCAUAAAUUGUUUUUUUUUCAAUAAGAUCAAAAUUAGAAUGAUUAAAAAUUGUUUGUUAAUCUUUGAAGGUUACACAACCUAUUUUAUAAUUAACUAUGCGUUCAUGUAUCAUUCUUUUUAUGUAUAAUUUGAGAACCAUAUAUCAAUUGAACAACAGCAUUUGAUCAAUUCAAAUUAUCUUGCUUUGAUGUGUUUCUCUUCCAGGCUUCGAAGUCGUAUCAUCAAAACUGAGGAAACUGGAGGUACUUGACCUAACUUCUAACCGAUUUAAUAAUGAUAAAAACAUUUUAUCAUGUUUCAAUGGGUUUUCCUCUCUCAAGUCUUUGGAUCUAUCAGACAAUGGGGUGACAGGAAACAAUAGUAAGUUACAUUCUCUUGAGAAAAUUGAGGACUUUAUAUCCAUUUAGUAAUCAACGAUAGCAUUUCAUCAUGUUUGACAGCGCUUUCAUCUCUAAAGAUUAAUAAAAAUUAGGAUGAUUAAAAAUUACUUCUUGACAAUUAUUGUAAGAAACCGUGGAAGAAUAUAAUGGUAGGAGGAUUACGUAAGAGUCAGAGUCUCUCAAUUCUCUGUUUUCCUUCUUCUCCUCCCCUGCUUCUCACCCUUCUGCUUCAUUUUGUUAAGCCAAGCUUAACAUAUGAUUAUAUUACAAUACACAAAAUGGAUACUUCCAAUCUAUCCUUCUUGACAAAAACGCAAUCUUAAGGAAUAAAAACCAUCCCUCAAUACCCUUUCUCUCAAGGAUACUACUUUAAGUCAACGUAAAUUAGUGUUUAGUUCCUUAAAAUCUUAAUUAAUAAUAUUGAAAGGAAUGGCUACUCUGUUUCAUCGUACCUUUCCUUUUUUCUCUUUCACAAGGACUUUCUUUAAUUCGAGCACUCUUGAAAAAUUCCAUCUAGAUCUUACUUCUCUCCCAUUAAACUUUCUUCAGAACAUCAGAACAUUGCCUACUCUUAAAGUAUUGUCUGUUGGCCAAUGUGUCAAGGUAAAUUAACAACUCUCCAUCCACUCAAGAUUCUUUCAACACUAUAUAUUUUGACUAUUUCGAGAUAAAUCAUACAGGUGGGUGUGAAUUGAAGAAUUUUAAGUGGUUAGAUCUCUCCGGAAAUAAUUUUGGAGGGUCACUCCCAAAUUGUUUGGGAAACUUGUCAUCUCUACAACUAUUAGAUGUAUAUAACAUCUAAAAUCAUAGCUUAAAAGAAUUGUCAUAAAUUGAUGUUGUUCUUGCUAAUUUGUUGUUUUGUGUAAGUGGAUUAAACAUAAAUAUUAAAUAUAUAUAUUUUUUAAUUUAUCUAUUAUGCCGGUAAUUUUUUUAGUUGUCAUGUACUUUAUUUUUAAUCACUAGUAAAUUCAUCACCAUCAUUUUUCAUAUGAAAUUCAUAGCAAAAUACUUAUUAAUUCAUCAAAACUCAAUUCAAUUCAUAUCCAUUAGCAUAUAUAAUUACUCAUACACAUAUUAAUUCAACAAACCCAUACAUUAUUAUAAACCCCAACAUUUUCAAUAACUAAUUAUAAAGAAAUAAAACUAAAAUUAGAUAAUGAAACACAUAGAAAAAAUGAUAGAAAACUUUCCUAAAGCAUAAAUCAUAAGAAGUUACUUGUUUAACUAAUUAAUAGAUUUGGAUUCGAAGAAAAAUUUUGUAGAAAAGAAAUAGGCAGGGGCAAUAGUGGAAAAAAAAAGAAAAGAGCUUAGAUCAAUUAAUAGGUAACAAAGACAAUUAACCAUGUAAAACUAUUAUAUUAAUAUUUUAAUAUAAAAUAAUACUUUGAAAAAAAAGAUUAAGGGGACAAUUGCCCCCGGUUGCCCCAUUGUGGCUCUGCUACUGAUGACAUGUAACUAUUCUUUAUAUUUUAUUUUGGAUUUCUCAUAAUGUGGGUUUAAUAUAUUAUAGAGCAUAAUAUUUUUUAUUUAAAAAUAUAUUAAUUUAAUAUUUUUUCUAGUAAAAUAAAUAAAUUACCAUAUUUCUAAAUAUUCACGUAACUUAUCUCUAAGUGCCCGAGGGGGAUAAGAAUAGGCAUCAACAAAACGACACAAGAAUGACUUGUUAAUAUAAUAUUUCCUUCCUUGGUUUUCAAGCUAUGCAAAUUAAUGUCACUUUCUUGGGCUGAAAGAUUGACCAAACCAAGCUAUGGACACAUCGUAUAGGAAAUAAUAUAGAACCAAUAGGUAGAGGAGCAUGUCAAGAUAUUCUUCGCCAAGCAUACUUUUCAUCUUCAAAAUAAUCAGAUAUGAUAAAUUCCAACCUCCAUAAUCCUUCAUUACACUGAAACAAUCACCUUAUUCACGAGUAAAUAAUGCAUUCAACAAAAAGCAUACUAGAAUGUUUGAUAUAGGUAUUUUUUAAAAAUACCUCCCUUUGAUUUCCUCAGUAUGUCAGGUCAUAUUUUUGGCUGCAAAUCUUGUAUCCCUAGCGAUCCCUCCUCUUCUUAAUUCCUACGUACUAUUGCUUUAGAUUGAAGGUGUAAACUGACCCCAACAGAGGAUACAAAAGCUUCAACUCUGCUUGUUAGUUUUUGAAACUCGGUCAUUUUACACUUCUUAAAACAACCAGUCGCAUUGCAAAAAUAGGAAUUAACAAUUUAGAAAAGGUAGAUAACUAACAUGUCAUGCAUUUAGAGAUAUGUCAGAUUCAAAACCAACCAGGAAGAUAUUAAAGCUAUUGCAAAUGCAAUGAGCAUUUCAAAAUAUCCUCAAAUUCAACAACCAUGAUCCAAAAUGACAUGAACAUGGUAAAGCAUCGUUUUACAGUAGUGACUGACUUAUUAUGUUUUAAUCAGAGGGUGUAAGAGUUGUGUCACAAGUAAAUUAACGAUCAAACAGCAGGAAAAUAUAGAAAAAAGAAGGUUCUAACCAAGGAUAUCAGAAAUGCCUGCAAUAAGCUAGGUGGUUCUCUACUGACAUGGUGAUUAUUCAGUACAUAUUCCCGAAACUGUUCCACCAUGACUUUGACAUUUUCCUGAAGGGAUAGUGAAACAUGUCAACAUAACGACAUCAUAGAAGAAAUACUGCUCCAUAACCUUGAGAUCAAUUAUGAAAAUAAUGAUGUUUCCUGAUACAUGACCCAGCAACUUCCAGCAAAUUCACAAGUCCAGAGUAAACAUGUUCAUAAAGUAAAACGAACCCAUCAAAGCAGUAAGCAUAUCAUUUCCCUCACUUUUAAUAGAGUGAAGAUAGAAUUUGGUUAAUUGAGUCCUGGCAAUGUAAGCCAACUAAGACCAGAGAGAGUUUUCUUCUAUUUUUUAAGUUUUCCUUUUUCCUUCUAUAUUGUUACUCAGUGACCCAUGAGAUUUCCCUCUCACAACCCAGAGAAACACUAGAGGAGAUGGAAAAAAUAGCAGAUCAUCAUUGUCAGACUGCUAAGAAACAUAAAAUAUCAAACAAAUCUUCCUAUUUCAACGGAUGACAAGGGAGAGGAUUUGUGAUGCCAUUGAGAGAACAAGAAAUUAACAAAUAAAAAUAAAAUUCAAAAGCGACAUUUGAUGGUGAUGAUAUUCCAUUUCAAAUAGGAAUUGAGUGAAAUUGAAGUUCAAUAGUGCCCAAAAAUGCAAUGCUCUCUAGGCCAAGAAAUUCAUAGUAUCUUUAUCUCAUUAAGAUCUAAAACAGUUAUUUCAAUCCAAUGCCAACAGUAGGGAUCAUUGCAAGGUUGAUGGCUUGAAUGCACAAAAAGUAGGGUAUUUACCAGAUCUUUUCUUCUUUAUUUCUAUGCUUAAUUAAAAUCAAUUCUGAAACCAGUUCAAAGUACUAAGAAUAGUAGUAGAUAGGCAGACCCAAUACACCACAUCAAAGAACCUACUGCAGCAUUCACGAACAAGUGCUAGAGAAAUUAACUUCUUCCAAGGGAUGAGAUGCAUACUGAGAGUUGCAAAAUUUCACAAAGUUUUGCUAUCUCAGGCUUCAAAAAAAGAUGGAGACUCUUCUCAGAAUCAUCAUGCAAGUUCCUUCCUCCAUCAUACCCAACCAUGUCGGCUUUCAGUACUUGUGAUAAUUUACUAGUCAAAUGUGAGAAGUUGGAAACAUGAUCGCAUCAGUUGUGUUAAGAAGGCCACUUGAACUUGGCAUGACUUGAGACAUCUUAUGCACUGGAGCUCCAGAAGUUCCUGCAGAAAAAGAGACAUUUUAUGAAGAUUAAUUAAAAAAAUCAAGGAAAUCCCACAAUGUUUGCCACCUAAUACUCUGAGAAGAGUAUACCAUCUGUGCUUACAGGAUAAGGAACAGAACCAGAACAAUUAAUCAACAGUGAAACUAGCCAGUUACCUAUUAAAGCAGCUUUCAGAGAAGGCGAAUCAGUGUUAUUGUUGGACACUUUAUUGUGCUUCUUUAACCUUUGCCUUUCGGAACAUGAAUCCACAGAAUCAGUUCUGCCGCGCUCAUAUGGAGCUGCAUCCCCAUCUUCAUUUGAAACCAUUUCCGUAGCAUCAAAAUUCAAGUCGUCAAUACUUCUUUUUUGUUUAGGAAGACAUCACUUUGCAACCACUCUUCACCUCAGUAUCAACCCCAGGUGUCCUAUUUACUAUCAGAUCUUGGCUACCUUCCAGUUUAGCUUUCUUUUGUUUCUGUUUGAACUGUUCCCUGUAAGCACGAGCAUCCAUUCUCUUAAUUCCAACCAGGACAGUUUUGAUAACAGGUUUGUCACUGUUUCCAACUUCUUCAGUUUCAAGUUGUUUCACACUCUUCUCUUUCUUGUGCUUUUCCUUCAUAAUUAAAGAGCCGGAGCUUUUACCACACUUUGUUGAACCAGAAGAACUAGAUGACGACUGAUUCUUACCAUUCUCAGGCCUUCUAGAAGGAGUCGGUAAACUUUGUUUCUCGACCAAUCUCUCAGAUUUCCUCGUAACAGGAGGAAUUGUGGGGGGGGUCUGCUUCUCAAUACGUUCAGACUUUCUACUACUUGAAGGGCUUGGAGUCAAGUUUUUCUUCAAUGAUGUUUCUCUAGCUGACUUUCUUAGACCACAAGUAUCAUUAGCAGCACCCAAACUGCUUGAUGAUCUGUUACCAAUGUUUCUCCCUUUUAUAUCAUUACUUUCCUCAUCCUUACCUUUACGACUAACCUUGGUAUCAUUUCCCAUCCUGCAAGCUGUAAACCACAAACAACAACAACAACAUGAGAUUCCAUUAAAUAAACCAGGUCAGGCUUAACAUUGAUGUUUCACAAGCAAUUGACCAAACUAAACCCAAGUAUCCCUAUAUUGGCAAACCAAUCCCCCACUCUUCCACUUACAUUCAACCCCAUAAAAAAAAUUACUAUAUUUGAAGCAAUCUACAAAAACUUAGACUGGAUAUUCUUGGAAAUUAUGAACAACAUUCUCAUAAAGAAAAAAAAAGUAUUCAUUAUUAGAAUUUCCAAGUACAAUAUUCUCAUAAAAGAAACAAAAAUUGCCAAAAAAUUAAUUCUUAGAAUUUCCAAGCAAAAAGUUCUCAAAAAGAAAGAAUAAUAGCAAAAACAAUGAAAGGCUUAGAAGACAUCAACAAUGUACAAUCAAGGCUGCAUGUUCAUUUCAAUCACUGCAAUGCCAUUCACAAUCACCGAACCACAAGAACCUAACGAAAAAAUCAACAGAAACUACACCAAAAUUACGCUAAACAAAACCCUAAGUCACUGAAAAAAUUAUUUUUUUCUUUUUCAAUUUCAGAUUAAAAACCCUAUCAGAAGGAGGGGGAGGAAAGGGGUGGAUGAGAUUGGAGUUCUAACUUACCAGAGAGAGAAUAGUUGGGAGGUCACCGGAUUUAGUCUUCCGACGGCAUUUGACUGCCGGAGUCUUUAAUUGCCGAGUAGAAAGGAGUAAAGAGUUGAUAAAACUUUACCACUGAACAGGCCCGCAGGGGAGGGGUUAAUGGUCAAUGAUUCAAUGUCAUGCUUUGUACCUGCCCAGUUGGGAGGUUACUUAUAUGUUAAUAUUUAGUCCUACUACUUUACUUGUAUUCAAUUUAGUCCAACACUACAAGGAUUGGAUUCAGACCUGGUAGCACUCAUUUUUUUUAAAACCCGACAUUACUUAAUGAGUUAACCUCUAAACUAAUCCGGAUUUUAAUUUUAAUAAACCCAGUAAAAACCUUUAAAUUUUUUAAAAAUAAAUAAUAAUAUUAUUUUUACUUUUUAUAAAAUAAAAAUAAAUUAAUUAAUCAGGUUAAUUCUAGUUAACACCACUAUGGCCAUAAACUUGUUGCGAGACAACCCCAAACCUUUGAUAUGGGAGGGCAACCCAACAAAUAAACAUUGAUAGAAAUUAGCUUAUCAACUCCCGAAAUAGUAAUAUAACAAUCCAUAAUUAAAAUCUGAUUUAGAAACUUGAUAAUCAUGGAUUGAAUUCAUGUUAUCAUAUGUGAAAAGCUUAAACUGAAAAACAAAAAAAUGAAUUUUUUUAAUUAUUUUUUCUCAAUAGUCAAAGUUUUUAUUGCUGACAAGUGUCAAUCACAAAUAAAGAAAUAAUUGGUCAUAAUUGAGGGCAUAAUAUGUGUAUUUGUUUUUUUUUUCAAGUUUUUGUGGUUGUAUUUUUUUAAAAAUAAAUUUUAAAAAAAUAUGAAUAGAUAUAAUUAGUUGGAUUUAGAUACGUGUUUGAUAAAAGUUAUAGUUUAACUAUAUAACUUUAAUAUACAUGAAAUUGAAAGAUAUUGGAGGUUGAUGAUUGAUGUGAUGUUAAUUCACUUAACCAGUGAUUCUAAAUUUGCUUCAUGUAAAUUAAUCUGAAUUAGAUUUAAAAACUAUAAUACAAAGGUUAACUUGAUAAUUAUAGAUUGAAUUAAUGUUUGCAUUUGCUUAAACUAUAUAUAAAAACAAAAAAUGAAAAUUGUAAAUAAUUUUUUCCUCAAUAGUCAAAGUUUUAGUUGUUGACUUAACUGUCAAUCACAAAUGGAGACACAAUUUGUCAUAAUCGAGGGAACAAUAUUUAACUACAAAGAUUUUUUUUUUUAAUAUAUCUUUAAUAUACAUGAAAAUGGAAGACAUUGAAGGUUGAUAAAUGAUGUUAACUCACGUACAUAUUUAAAAUCAUUAUUGUUAAAUCACUUACAUGUUUAAACAUAUGCCACAUAAAUUUUAAAUUUAAUAUUCAUAAGUAUAGUAAUUAAAAAUUAGAUAAAUAUAUACUUUGAAGAUUAGCUUGUAAGGUGAUUUUUUAAAAAUAUAUAUCUAAAAUGAAAACAACAAAAUAAAAAUAAUAUGUAUAAAAAAAAUAGAAUAUAGAUGAAAAACACUUGAAACAAAAACCCUAAAUGUUGUAAAUAUUAUCCUAAAAGAAAACAAACGAGUAAUUAUUUUAUUAUUAAUCUAUAGAAAAUGUCAUCAAUAUGUCCUUAAUUUAAAUAUAAACUAAAUAACCUUAUUAUAAUUUCUUCUUGUCCCACAUCAUUAAUGAAUAUAAAAAUACUAUGGUGUAAUUUUGGGGUAUAGCCUAACUGAUAAAGCUCUAAAUUUGCUCAUCAGAAAUCAUCAAUUCGAGUUUUAGAAACCUCAUGGUCACUAAAAACUUACAUAACCGUUAACUUCAGGACCCGUGAGAUUAGUUGAGAUACGCACAAACUAACUCGAACAACUAUAUUAAUCUAAAAAAAAAAACACUAUGUUGUACCUCUAAUAUCGUCUUGGCUUUACAACCUUAAGUUAACACGCAGAACUAUAGCGAGCAAACACACUGUAAGAUAUCAGUUAACGACUCAAUUUGAUCACAAGUCAAGUUUGUUUAUAUCUAUAGAAUCUGCAAUUUGCUUUCGAGAUCAGCUAUGACCUCAGAAGUUGGCAAAAAUCUGUGAAACCCCUCCAGCAAAUCAGGAUGGUCUGCAAACAGCUCAACCACAUCUCUGUACACAUCAGCCACGUCCUUCCACUUGUUUCUGUAUGCACAUAAAGUCAUCAAAAAGUCUUUGUAAGCCUCCUUGUUGAUGCGCUUCUGCACCUUCCUUUCAAAAUCGACAGCUUCUUCAUGAUCUAUAGUAACCUUCUCUGCGGCCAUUAAUGCGUCUUAAUUGAUGCGAUUCUGAGAAGGUUAGAAAGCCGAAUAAAAGAACAGAUUACCCUAAUUAUUAUUAUUAUAGUUGUUUUUGUAUUAACCGGAGCACAAUAUUAUAUAUAUUUGUGCCCUAUCAACUCUAAUUUAGUCGGCCUCCUAUACCCAAUAGAGUAAGCGUUAAUAUAUAUAUAUAUAUAUCUGGCCCAUACCCGUUAAGAAACCAACCACCUCUCAAGUCUCGACCCAUGGCCCCAAGCAUUUGAAUUCCUUAUGCUCAAAUGCUUUUCAAACUAGAUCUCUGGAUGUUUAUUAUAAGUUAAAACUCUAAGAUAUAAUAAUAUUAUAAAUAUAUAAAGAUUUUUAAAAUAUUUAAUUUUGUUUUUCUUUAUUUUUAUUUUUCAAAAAAUUAUUAUAAAUCUUUAUAUAGAAAAUAAACUACAAAACCCUAAUAAUAAUAAUGAGGGGAAACAAACUAUAAAAGCAUCAUAAUAAUGAAUAGAAAAAUAAAAUUAACAAAGUAAAUUAUUUAUUUUUCUAAAAAAGUUUCUACAUCAAAUGUUUGUUUUUCUUCGUUUUUUUGCAAUUAGGUUGUCAACUACAGUUAUUAGAUCCAACUCUAUCUCUACCUAAUGGUUUGACUCUUAAAAUCCAUGACUGGAGCAAAGUUUUGAUUUGAUCUAAUUUUGACAUUAUUCUCUGACCAAAAUCCAAAUAACUUUCAAAUUAAUAUGCAACUCAAUGCAUAUACUUAUAUUCAAAAUCCAAAUUAAUGGGUCUUAUCCUCUAUUUAUUGCUCCGGAAUAAAUUAUAUUGAUUUUAUACCUGCUCCACGUAUAAUAUAUAUAUAUAUAUAUAUAUAUAUAUUUUUUUUUUCAAACUUUGUUAAUUUGUAAUUGAUUUUUUUUUUCGAGGAGAGAGGACUUGAUUAAGUUGUAUAAAGGGAAUGAUAAUGGCCAAAAUCACUACUAAGUACAAACAAAAUAUUCUAUGCAGGAGAGUUACAUGUUAGUGGCCUAGUGAUAAAAGCUUGGGAUCAAGAAGUUUAUUCUUUCUGUGGUCUCAGGUUCGAAUCCUAGGUUAUUCAUAUGAUGAGCACUAGAGAUUUAUAUGAUCGUUAACUUCAGGGCCCGUAGGAUUAGUCGAGGUGCGCGUAAACUGACCCGGACACCCAUAUUAAUCUAAAAAUAUAUAUAUAUAUAUAUAUAUAUAUAUAUAUAUAUAUAUAUAUAUAUAUAUUCUAUGCAUGUGUGACAACACUUAUAUCUGCAUUUGUAUCAAGGGCAACCCCACCUCAGCUAUUCAAUCAAAGCACUGAAAUUGGAGCAAGAAGAUCCACCUUCUUCAACAGCAUUCCUGGUCGUUUCUUCUAGCUUCUUUGUUCUGCUCCUCAUUUCCUCUGCUUCUCUACAGCUUCACUUUUAACAUGAUCUCCAUGCACUGUAAGCCAUUCCUCAACUCCAACACCAACUCCAGUUUUUAAAACAUCGGUCACCAACUUUUCAUUAUGGAAUUGCUCAGCAAAACAUCAGGCACCAUCCUCAAUGAGUCACAAAUGCACCUAUUGCUUCAUGAUCAAGAAUCAAAACUUGGAGUGCUCAUCCUCUAAUAAUUAGGCCUUUGCCUUCCAUUCUUCCCUCAAAUCCUUCAGGUAAACAAUCCUUCAGAUAAAUUGAUGCCUGCUGCAAUCUCCUUAAGCUGAGAGGCAGUGAAGUUUGCCAUGCUUCCAAAGCAAAUAUAAACAACUGAAUUUGGUUUCUUUGAGUCGAGUCACUUCAACUGAAUUUGCCAUGUUGAGCAAUUGAGGCUUGUUUUCCUCUUCCUGCUUCAUCUUCAUUGUCUCUAUUGCAUAGCGAAACCAGGCCCACGUUAAUUCACACCCUCUUUAAUUGACCCAACAAGACAAUGUCCUAACCAUACAGGUUCCUCUUCUACAGAUUCAUGGAUCACUUUAUGCAAAGCAGAGGCAUGAUUUUCUGGAAAAAGAGUGUCUUGGGAACUUACAGUAGAUUUCGUUGGAACUCUUCUCUCAGGACGUAGCAUAGCUUCUUGAAUCUCUGUUUCUAAUCGGAACAGGGGAGCAACGAGAAGCUAUGAGUGGUCGCAGAAUUGUUUUAAAAAUUUAAUGAUCAAAAGGAAGAAAAUAAAAAAAAUCUGCCUUGUGUUUUAAAAAACACCUCCCUCUGUUUCCUCAACAUGUCAGGUCAUAUUUUUGGUUGCAAAUCUUGUAUCCCUGGCGAUCCCUCCUCUUUUUUAAUUACUGUGUGCUAUUGUUUUAGAUCUGAGGUGUAAACUGACCCCGACAGAGGAUACACUCUAUACCCAAUCUAUGUAGUAUGAUGAAAAUACAUGAUAUUUCUUCUUACAUGCCAAAAAAAUAUUUAUUUUCAGUACACUACUCACGUACUAUUUCUUUAGUUUUCUUCUUGGGCAUAAUCACCAAGCCUGUAUUCAUGUACAAUCUAGAACAAAAUGGAAUUACAUAGCAGGACUUUGGUUUCUUAUAUCAAUUUUCUUCAGAGUUGACAGCUAUGACAAUAAGCUACCAAAGACAAACAUGUUCUUGAAAAAUUUGGUAAACAUACUUAAAUUAUCUGUAACAUUUACAGACUCUGAUUACUGAUCGCUGAGACUUCAUUUUUUUUUUUUCUGUUUGUUGAGAAAGUCCAAGCAAGCACUAGGAUAACUUACUAGUGAAAAAUAUUAAUCUACAAUUUACACUUACUGAUAACAUGCAUGUAGAUAUCUUAUUGGUUGGGUUUUACAAUUUACACUUUCUAAUUUAUAAAACCAGGAGUAAAUAACAUAUAUCAGAGGUUUAGGUAGCUUCCUGUCCAUGUGAAAACACAAGAACGACAAGUUAAAUUUGACCACAUGUUAUCCUAUUGAAAUAUGACAUGUGUUGUUGGACACAUGCCAAGCACAUUAUCACAUGAACAAUGAAUCAGCAGAAGGAAUUUUUAGUUAGAUAUUAGUCUUAAGAUUUAAAAUUUUAAAAAAAUAAUCAUCAUUUUUUAAAUACCAUAUCAGCCCCCUAACUUGUAAAAAUGACAAAUGCUACCACUGGCUAUCCCAUGCUAUUGCUGGCUAUAUGUGAGGCCUUAAUUUGCCUAGGGCCAUAUGGUCCAGAUAAUAAUUUUCUUAAAUGAAAAAAACGUUAUCUUUAUUGUUAAUUAAGCUUGGCACCCUGUAGCAAACAUCUGAGAUAGAAACUGCAUCAAGGGUUUUUGUUUUUCCGUUCUUCAGGAUUGGUGAUUCUGGAGCAAGUAGCCAUGGCCAUGAUCGCAGUGCAGGUGGCGCUCGAGAAACUGGCUUCCUUUGUAGCAGAAGAAACACGGUUCUUGGGAGGAGUUAGAGGGGGAAUCGUUGAACUACAGGAUGAUUUGUAUAGCAUGAAAUCUUUCCUUCAGGAUGCGGAACAAAGGAGUGAGAGUGAUCAAGGACUGAGAGCCUGGGUCAAACAAGUGAGAGAUGUGGCUUAUGACGCUGAGGACAUUCUUGAAGAGUUCAUGCUCCGGUUUGCUCCAUCUCACGGGAGUGGUUUUAUCCAUUAUCUUCGAAAUUCAUAUCGUUCCAUCCGUAAAUUAAGUGCACGGCACCGGCUGGCAGUCCAGUUACAAAGCAUUAAAGCAAGGGUGAAAGCCAUUUCUGAGAGAAGAAAUGCAUUUUCUUUGAAUAGGAUAGACAUGCCAUCAACCUCCGGUGCUACCGUAGAGAAAUGGCAUGAUCCCCGGUUUGCUGCUCUUUACUUAGAUGAAGCUGAUGUCGUGGGAAUUGAGAACCCAAAACAUCUACUGGUUUCGUGGCUUGUGGAAUGCGAAGAAAAGCUCUCCAGUAUCUCUGUGGUUGGAAUGGGUGGGUUGGGAAAAACAACCCUCGUAAAGAAAGUCUAUGACAGCCACCCCAUCAGAAGAAGCUUUGAUACCCAUUCUUGGGUUACAGUUUCCAAAUCGUUUGCAUCCACGGAGCUCCUACGAGUUGCUCUGCAGGGGUUUCUGGCGACAGCAAACGAACCUGUUCCGGAUAAUUUGCAAUCAAUGACUGACUUGCAAUUAAUUGAUGCUCUAAGAAAUUAUCUAUGGAGAAGGAGGUAUGUCAUUGUUUUGGAUGAUGUAUGGACUGUAAACGCUUCGAAUCCCAGUGGGAGUGGGGCUGGAGAGUUUGCUCUCUUUCUAUUUCUCUUGGGUCCUCCCUAUGAUGUAUCCCUGUCACCCCCGCGGUGUCUUACCUGCUCACUAGGGCUUGCAGGAUGUUCAGUGGGCCGUGGGAUUAGUCGUGGUGCGCGUAAGCUGGCCCGGACACCCACGUUAUCAAAAAAAAAAAAAAAAAAAAAAAAAAAAAAAAAUAAUAAAGUAUGCAUUUCCUGAUUGUAACUGUGGUAGUAGAAUUAUCUUCACUACACGUUUAAGUAACUUGGCUGAAGCUAUAGAGAACACUAGUCAUGUUUAUGAACUCCAAGCUUUACCAGAAAAUGAAGCUUGGACCCUCUUUUGUAUGAAAGCCUUUAGAGGGGAACAUAAGGCUGCAUGCCCUCCAGAACUGGAAGACAUGUCUCGAAAUAUCUUAAAGAAGUGUGAGGGACUGCCACUUGCAAUUGUAGCAAUAGCUAAGUGUGAGGGCCUACUGUCGAAAAAGAAAAACGGAGGUUUGGAAUGGAAGAAAGUCCAAGACUGCCUAGCUACAGAAUUGAAAAGUAACAACGACCUUGGGAGUGUACGUAGAAUACUUCAACUAAGUUAUGAUAAUCUUCCUUACUACCUCAAACAGUGUUAUUGUAUUUAAGUGUUUUUCCAGAUGAUUAUUUGAUAAAAAGAAGGAAGUUGAUCCGGCUAUGGAUAGUUGAAAGGUUUGUGGAAGAGAAGCAAGGCUUUACAAUGGAGGAAGUAGCAGAGGAAUACCUUAAUGAACUCGUGAAUAGGAGUUUGAUCCAAGUGGUGGAGAAGAAUUAUUUUAAUAGGGUCAAGACAUGUCGUGUUCAUGAUCUAAUGCGAGAAAUCAUUCAAAUGAAAUCCAGGGAAGAAUCUUUUGUUAUGAUAGCAAACGGAACAAGAAUCAGCAAGAAUGAGAAAGUUCGGCGUCUAUCAAUCCAUGAGAACUCUGAGGAAGUACAAUCAGAUAUGAGAUUUCCUUAUCUGUGGUCUUUGUUGUCAUUUUCUUCACAUCAUUCUUUUGAGCACGGUUUUCGCAAUUACAAUCUGUUGAGAGUGUUGAAUUUAGAUCGAGCUCCCCUUUCCACCUUCCUACCUGAAUUGGUUGAACUGAUUCAUUUGAGAUACUUAAGUUUGAGAUGGACCAUGAUAAGUGAGCUUCCAGAGUCCAUAAGGAAGCUCAAGUACUUGGAAAUACUGGAUUUGAAAAGGAGUCCUGUAUCUUCUUUGCCUGCUGGGAUCACACAAUUGACAUGUCUUUGCCAGCUCCGUAACUAUCGAUACAUUUUCCAGUCCUCAUCGUUCUUCCCAGACACUCAUGGAAUGAGAGUUCCAUCAGGAAUAGGAAGAUUGACGAGCCUGCAGAAAUUGGGAAGGGUCGAAGUGAAUGAAGAUUAUGAGUUAGUCAGGGAGUUGGGAAAGCUAACUCAGUUGAGAAGGCUGGGCAUUUUAAAGCUAAGAGAAGAGCAGGGAAUGGAUCUCUGUUAUACUUUGGACAGGUUGAAACACCUUACUGCAUUGUAUCUUGUUUCACUAAACAACACUGAAUUCUUACAAUUUGACUCUCUUUCAUCUCCUCCAAAAUAUCUCCAACGACUAGAUCUCAAAUGUAGUCUUCCAGCUUUACCAGGAUGGAUAGCUUCACUCCAGUAUAUUUCCAAUUUUCUAAUUUGAAAUGUGAUCCUCUCAAGGUCCUCCAGAAAUUGCCUAGUUUGGUGAUGCUUGAACUCCGUCAAGCUUAUGCAGGGGAAGAACUUUGUUGUGAUCCUAGUGGAUUUUCAAAGCUGAAGAGGCUAGGUCUCCAUGAACUGGAGAGAUUGCGGCGCAUCAGAAUAGCAAAGGGAUCAAUGCCUGGGUUAGAGAGGCUAGACAUCACAGCAUGCACGGUGCUAGAAACUGUGCCGGAUGGGAUUGAAAACCUGAAAAAUAUAGGAGACCUGGUUCUGUGGUAUAUGCCUUCAACGUUCAUCAAGACAAUAGAGAGCUACCGUGGUGAAGAUUUCUGGAGAGUUCAACAUAUCAGAACAAUCACCCGUAUCUACGAGAGCCAGGGGAGACGGGUCUCUGAAACUCUUCUGUAAUUAGAGGGGUUAACUACGGAGAGAAUACAGUUUCCGGAAAAUUAUAAUCUCUGUCAAGUUCCUCAGGUAAUGCUGAGCCUCAGAAAACAGAAAACUGCUGCUCUUCCCUCCUCUUCUCUGCUCCUUUGUCUCUGUUUUGCUGUUGUUGAAUCUUCCAACCUGCUAUCUUGCCCAUGUUUUAUAAAUUCAUUUUGAUGGGAUAGAGAUUGAUGCAGUGGAAUCUUGACUUCACAGGUCUACGAAGAAGAAAAACAAGUGCUACUGGAUGAUGAGAUUAAAAGACUUGUCAGAAAAUCAAAUCAAUCUUGACUUCACAGUUGUAGUAUUAUUAGUUUUUAAAAUUUUUAACCGUGUCAUCUAAUUGAAUGAUUAUACAGAGGUCCGAUGGCAUGAUGUUGGACAGAUUACGAAAACUAACCACUAGAAAACCGCAGCAUAAUAGUUGCGAUUCUUCAAUGAAGUAAAACCACCUGCGUCGCCAGUAAGGAUUUAUGUGCAUAAUAGUUGCGAUUGACAACAUCAUAAUUUUUUUUUGGUUAAUAGUAAAAAUUUUAUUAAAAAAAAACUACAAAGAUAAUAGCCUAACUUCCAUCAAAUAAACAAGCAGUGGAAAGAAAAACACAAUACUGUUACAUAAAACAAGAGAGAGCAACAAAAAAGGGAACAAACAAAUCAUAAGAAACCAACUCCUCCCGACUAAACAUUCUUUAUAUUAAGCUUUAAAGAGUUGGAAUCAAGCCUCAGCCAUAAAGCAAUACUUUGGAGCACCAUGGAGAAACAUAUUUGAAGGUUAGGGGCAACGUCAUUAAAAAUAACAUCAUUUUGGUGAAGCUAAAAAUUCCAAACAACACAUGAGAAAAGAAGUUGUCAUGAGAGAUUUUGCUGCUUGCCUUUAACCAUAGAAAACUAUUGGUAGCACAUAUCAUCAACAGAUUUUGGAAAAACACUGUAAAAGCCCCGAUUAGAAAGCAGUUUCAUCCAUAUAUUUCAAGUGAAGUGGCAGUGAAUGAAGAGGUGACUUGAAGAUUCCAAGCUUUUAUUGCAUAAAGCGCAUUCUGACUCCUGAAAGGUGAGGUAGUCAUGCUGAAAUAGAAAAUCUCUUGUGGUUACUUUGUCUUCGACAAGGAGCCAAAGGAAAAGUUGCACUUUUGGUGGGUUUAGUUUUAUCCAAACAGAAGAUUGGAAUGGUUCGGUACCAUCAUAGAGCAGCUGGUCCAUCAUUUUGGAGCAAGAUUUUACAUUAAAAAGGCCAUCGUUGUUGAGGAUCUAGAUUUUCUUAUCCAUCUUGUAACAGAAUAUUGGCUUAGAUUCCAGCAAGGAUGAUAAAAGUCAUGGAAAUGGACAAAGUGUGUUAUAAAUAGGACCUCUAUAGUUGCCUAAACUCACAUAACGAACAACAAUAUUCUACAAACUGUAGUGCUUCAUAGAAUUAUCUAAGAUUUCUGCUCUCUCUUCAUAUUUCUAUCUUCCACCAAAUCUGGGUUUGCUCAGAGUCUGUUCCACAAUGUUAGAUUUAUUUCUGAACUCUCAAGAUUUUCUUGUUUAAUUUUGUGUUUCCUCUUAAUUUAAUAAAAAUGCACAUGGUUUUAUUACUGUUGUAACCCAAUUUUGGAUUCACCAAGUUUUUCUCGAAUGUUAUUUUAUUUCUAUUAUUAUUUAUAAAAAUCCAAAAAAAUAUAAAAAAAAGUUUAAAAUGCAAAAAAAUAUUUUUUCUCGAGUCAACCGCGUCUUUCCAUCAAAACCAAGUUCACUGGGUCAAUACGGGUCAAACCAUGUUGACUAGGGUAAAAAAUGAGUUUUUGGGCUGUUUCGGGUCAAAACCAUCAUUUUCGACCAAAACCGAGUUCACUGGAUCAAUACGGGUCAAACCAUGUCGAUCAGGGUAAAAAAUAAGUUUUUGGGUUGUUUCAGGUCAAAACCGUCAUUUUCGACCAAAACCGAGUUCACCAGGUCAAUAUGGGUCAAAACCGUCAUUUUCGACCAAAACUGAGUCCACUAGGUCAAUACAGGUCUAACCAUGUCGACCGGGAUGAAAAAUGAGUUUCAGGCUGUUUUAGGUCAAAAUCUAUUAUUUUAUGUCAAAACCCGGUCCACUGGGUCGAUACCCAUUGAAAGUGUUUUUUUUUUUUUUAUGUUUUGACAUAAUUUUUAGUAAUUAAAAUUGAUUUUUAGCGGUUGAGUCAGGCUUUUUUCUAAUACUGAUUUGAGUUUUUAAUUUUACCUAUAUAAUUAUUUAUUAUUACAUAUAAUAAAACAAAAUUAAUAAUAUAAAAUUUGUAAUAUUAGGUGGUGCAUUUCAACGAUUGUAGGCAGCGUAUUUUUUCUGACAACUAUUGUAAGAAGCCUAAUUUUGCCGAUACCAUGGUAGGCGUUGUUGGCGAUUUGUCCCCUGUCACUGGCUAUGGCUAUAAAUAGCCAGCGAUAAUUCGACACAGGGGAAGGGAGGCAGAAAAGAAGUGAAAGAAUUGAUUUAUAUUUGCCACUAUUCAUUUUUUCUUGUUUUUCUUCGGGAGAGUAAGAUAUAUUUUUUUAAAAAAAACAAUUUGAAAAAUACCAAACAUAUCCCAACAAAUCUCAGCAGUUGAAAUAAUCUGAGAUUGGAUCCCGUUGCGCCACGUCACCCGAUGUACCGAGCUUUCGGUGCACCGCGCUACACCGAAUCAAAACCCAGACAAUCCGGGCCGUCCAAUCAACCUGCAGAUCAAGCCAAUCACAGCCAUCCAAUCAUUUCAUCCGAGAUCCAACGUCAUAUAGAGUUCAGCGGUACAGGUGUAUCGUGCAUGCGUUCACACCAUAGCGUGACUCAGAGCUUCUCUCUCUUCUUCCUGGCGACUCCCUCUCCCUCAUCCGAUCUCCACUUUCCGCCCAUCUCAAGCCUCCGCACCACCACAGAACGGUUGAUCCACUGGUUUAAAGCAAAACCCCGGCGAUUUUAACCGUUUUUGCCGCCUCAUCUGGCCGGAAAAAGGCCAUGAUCCUCGCAGGCCACCGAAGCUUCAAGUCGACGAUUCUCCCUCGUCAGCUAUCAACGAUCAUCGAGACCACCACCAUCAGAAUCCUCUCCAUGAGAUCUACCAAAAUCAACCAUUGAUUGGUCGUAAAGCUCGCCAGAAAGUUUCACCGCCACCAACAGUAACCGCGCGUGAGCCACACGCGCCGCCAGUGGCAUUUUUGUGAUUUUCCAAGAAAUCCGAGGGUAUUUCAGUCUGUUACCUAUACAGGGGCAUUCAGGUAAAUGUUUUGAGAUUCCUAACAUUUUUUUAUAUAAAUAUUUGUAAAUUUGCUUGCAUGUUGUAAAACAAGAAAAACAAAAAAAACAAAAACAAGUAUAAAAAGAAUAACGACACGGGUCCAACACCCAUCCUAUCAUGUUAUCGUUCGUGGGUUCCAAGCCCAAUUCUCGAAUAUGAUUAUACCCAUUUCUCAACGAUAUCAAAAUAUUUUUAUUUUAUAAACGAAUAUUGUUCGUCAACACGUCUCUUUUUUUACAGAAAAGGACCGAUGUCAAAAAGUUAAAAUACCAAAUAUGGAUUAUGUCCAUAGUUUUUUGGUAACUCAGACGUAUUUCUCAUUUUUAGGGUUAAACGUCAAUAUUUUAGACAAGUUUCCUAUUUUUUAGGAACUGAUGUCAUUUUUUUAACGUGUCUCCUACGAACGUUGUUUGUCGACACGUCUCUUUUUACAGAAAAAGACCGAUGUCAAGGAUAUUUAUACUAAAUAUGGAUUAUGUCCAUUUUUUUUUCUUUUGGUAACUCAAACGUAAAUCUUCUUUUUAGGGUUAAACGUCAAUAUUUUAGACAAGUUUCCUAUUUUUUAGGAACUGAUGUCAUUUUUUUAACGUGUCUCCUAAUUUUAGGGACCGACGUUAACUAUUUUAUUAAAAAAAACAAAAUUGCAAAUAAGCUCAAAAUAUAAUAACAUUUGAAUCAAAUAUAAAAACACACAAGUAAGGGUAACCUUUUUUUUGAAAGGAUGUUUUAAGGGUGAUGUCUACCUUCCCUUAAUCAUAACUAACCUAGUAUCUGAAUCUUUGAGACCAGUGUCUAAUUUAGGAUUUUUAAUUCCCUCAAAUUACUAGAUGGUGACUCUAAUAAAAUCUUUAUUUCCCCCAAUAAAAAAUUCUUUUGUUAAAAAAAUAACAAAAAGAGUGGAACCAUCGCCCGACGUCGUGUAUCGACAAUUACUAUAAUGAUGAGAAUCAAUAGAGUCUUGCAUUUGAAAUUAGACCCUACAAUCUAACCUCUUAAUUAGCUGUUGAGAUUGUUACAUAACAAAAUAGAACAAUCCCCUGUUUCAUGAUGUUCUUGGAUCCUUUCUCCUCUAAAUUAUCCAUUUAUCAUGCUUUUAUUCAAGUUGAAUUUGAAGUCUUGGAUUGUUAGGGUGGCAUCGUUUUCCAACAUGCCUUAAUUUCUUCCGCAAGGAAAUCAUUAGGAAAGUACUGGUUGGUGCUAUGCAACCGCAUCAGUUCCACCAUCGUCGCUAUACAAUUCAGGCGUACACGUUUCAACUUUUGACUAUUUUAUAAAUUCAUUGUUUACACUCAAUGGAGCUUAUUAAUGGCAAUUAAUGGUGAGUUCAUUAACAUUUUUAAUUUUGAUUUGAUGAUGAAGUGCCCUAAUAGUCAAUGUCAAGGUCUCAAAAUAGAUAAAUGUAAUUUUUAUAUAUAAUGUAUUUAGUUCUUAUUUUAGCUAUAAUUGAGCAAAGAAAAUUCAUUGAUACAAAUAAAUUUCAUUGCCUAAUUAAGUUUGAUGUGGUAUGUUUGGCUGAUGAGUUGAUUGGCUAGAUUAAUAAUAAUAAUAAAAAAAAAAAUCCAAAAAACAAGUUUAAAAAAUGCACCAAAAAAUGGAACACCGCAAGUUAAGUAUCGGCGUCCACGACAUUUUACGCUUUAAUUCUAACAUGUAAGAUAUGAAGCAACGCCAUGCUUGAAAAGAAAUCUGAAAAAAGCCCCCGGACAUAUAAGAUAUGAAACUUGUCAAAAACAAUCAUAAUUUUAGAUUUAACCAUUGAAUUGUGCUCUAAUUUUAUUAGAUGAUUCUGUUUUCUGUUUUUUUUUUUAAAAGUAUCCUGUUUGUAAGCAAUGAUAUAUAUAAUGGAAGGAUUACUCCAAAAAAGUGACAUGAUGAAGCGUGUGUACCAUGAUUUAUGCGUACGUGUUGUUUGGUACGUAUGUUUUCUGCUUCUUCUUUUUUUAGUUUUAUUCUUCUUCUUUUUUUUGUGUUUUUUUCUUUAAUUAGAUUAGCAUUGGUUUAUUUAAUAAUCUAAUAGACUCAAGUGUUGUUUUUUUUUAAUUAUUUAUUUAUUUAAUGUUAUUGUUUUUUUAUAUAUUAUUUAAAUUAUUCCUUGAACGAAUGACUUGAAACUUGAAUUUUUAUUAACCUGUCAUUUUUUUAAAUAAAAAAAUUAAAUUGUUCAGCCUGGCAAAGCACGGAGAGCAUAUCUAUGAAACCAUUAUCUUCUUGUUCAUUAUUAGGCACCUGCUGCAAUUGCGAGUCUGUUUCACUGCAACUUCGCAACGGAGGUCUACAACGAAAAACAAGUGAAAGGGUUGUGUGUGACAGCUGGGUCCUAUAAGCUAGAAGGUUGGGAUAAAGAGCAUUUUAAUUGCUGUAACUGGGAUUAUAGGGUUGUGUGUGACAACACCACAAACCGAGUGAUCCAACUACAUCUUUCAGAUGUAAAUUAUGAUUAUCUCAAUGCAUUCCAAGACUUGGAUCUCAAUGCCUCUUUCGUCCAAUCAUCUCUUCAAAAUUAUAUUUUGAUCUUUAAACUUUAAUCUUUUUAAUUUAAAGUUUAAAUUGACUUUAAAAUUAAUUUUUUUAACAAUCAUACCCUUUAUAAAUUCAAUUAAACUUUCAAUAAAAUUUAAUUAAAUCCAUAAACAUUUGAUUUUGAAUUUUAUUUUUUAAAAUUAAAUUUUCUUUGUCAGCAGAGUUUUCAUCAGUAAAAAAAUAUACUGUCAAAUUUUAAUUUUUAUAUUUUUAAACCUCCUCAACUAAUUUUUAGCUAUUUUUUGAACACUUUGAUAUCCGCUUCUCACUGCUAUUAUUUUUUGUUUUCUUUCAAAUAUAUUUUUUUGUGAGAAAACCCAAAAAUAGAUAACAAGAAACUGAAUAAAAGAACAAACCCUAAUUAUUAUUAUAAUUAUUUUUUGUAUUAAUUGGAGCACAUUAUAUAUAUAUAUAUAAGAAAUUGUGAUUUUUUUAUCAAAUUUCUGAAUUUCUCCAAAAAUUUUAAAAUUUUAACCCAAGCUAAAACAUUAUAUUAGAAGGCUUCACGUAAAUUUUUAGAAUUUUUUGAUACCUCAAUUAAGAAUUACAAAUUUUCUUUAUAUAAAACUAAUAAAAAAAAUAUUAAUAAAAUCUUGAACUGAACUAGAACCUACCCUAGCUGAUACAUGCCUCCACCCUUGGGUGCAGUAAGAAGAAAUUAUUGAUAAUAGAAAUCAUUUUCUAAUCUCUUCUGCCAUGUAUUUCAUAAGAUCAAAUCAAUUGUUCAUAUACAGCACCUGACUUCCCAAAGUCUAUGAAGAAAAGUAAAGCAAUAAACAAGAAGUUGGAAUAUCCUUUAAUCCAACACCACAAACCGAGCGAUCUGUGCCGUGGUGCGGGCCCCCUGGCUAGCACUGUCCGUGAAGAUUCUCCCAUUCAAUGAAGCCCAAGUCUCCCUUGGAUAAUUAAUUCAGCAUAGAAAAUUCAAUGAUACAGAUAAUUGGGAAUCUUGACCGACUUCACAAGUCUGCCAAGAAAAAAAAAAAAAAUUGAAAGUGGAUGAUGAAGGUACUGGGAAAUCACUUCAUUCCAUGAAAAAAGUUAAGGAAGAAAUUUUUUGAUUCCACAUUAUUUCCAUGUCUAUAAGAGAAAGCAAAGUAGUUUACGCAAUAAAUUGGCGGAAUUGAUAUUAACAUAUCAAAAUAAUUUGACAACACUAAAAAUAUAUUAAUUUGGAGUUAAUAAAAAAUUAAAAAAAAAAAAUUUAUUUAAAAAUACUUUUAAAACACAAAAAUAAACAUCCAUGAAAACUUAAAUUAAAUGUUCAAACAAAUGACUUCCCAAGUCUAAGAAGAAAAAAGAAAGAAAGAAGCAAAGUAGCCUAAAGGAACACCCUGUUCCACAAGCUUGAAGAAAAAUAUUAAACUAAUGAAGAAAAGUAAAGCAGUAAACAAGAAGUUGGAAUUAAUAUCCUUUAAUCCAACACCACAAACCGAGCGAUCUGUGCCGUGAAGACUCUCCCAUUCAACGCAGCCCAAGUCUCCCUUGGAUAAUUAAUUCAGCAUAGAAAAUUCAAUGAUACAGAUAAUCGUCACUGUCCGAUCAAAUGCAUUAAUUAUGACGUGUAAACAAAUACAUUUAUGAACCAAAAUUGAAAAGAUUAAGCUUGAAAAGAAAUCCGUCACCACAUGGAUCUUUUCAAAUUAAGUCUAAACGAUUCUGUUUUUGUUAUUUUAAUUAUUUUUUUAGAUAAUUUUGUAUUUUAAUUUUUUUCCUCACUUAAUUGUAAAAUCUUUUAAUUAGAUCGGUUUUAAACUUUUAUUUCAACAAUUGGAGUCGGUUAGAGUUAGUUAACAAUAAAAUAAAUGGUAGGAGAAUUAUGUAAGAGUCACGCAAGAAAUAACAGAAUCAUUCUCCUCUCAUUUAUUUCUCUGUUUUCCUCCUGCUUCAUUUUGUUAAGCCAAGCUUAACAGAUGAUUAUAUUAUGAAGCUCGUAAUUGAUGGUUUUAUUUAUUUAUUUUUUGUAAGCCAUUGAUAAUGAUUUUUUUUUUCAUUUUUUCCUUUCUUCGAUCAAAUUCGUUUUGAUGAUGUGGAUUAUAGGAAUCUUGACUUCCCAAGUCUAUGAAGAAAAGCAAAGCAGUAAACAAGAAGUUGGAAUUGAUAUCCUUUAAUCCAACACCACAAACCGAGCGAUCUGUGCCGUGGUGCGGGCCCCUGGCUAGCACUGUCCGUGAAGACUCUCUCAUUCAAUGCAGCCCAAGUCUCCCUUGGAUAAUUCGGCAUAGCAAAUUCAAUGAUACAGAUAAUUGUCACCGUCCGAUCAAAUGCAUGAAGAGGACAAAAUUCUAUAUAAGAGACAGCUUUUGCUUGCUUUUGUAUUUUGUCAAGUAGGAGCGUUAAUAUGAAGACGAGGCAAAUGUGGGUGUGGAUGCUGCUCAUGGCACUGGCCUUCCUCAACGACCGGAGCCAUUGUUGUUUGGACGAAGAGAGAAUUAGUCUCUUAGAGAUAAAAGCUUGGUUCUAUCAUGCAGGUGCAGCUGUGUCCUAUCAGCUACAAGGUUGGGAUAAAGAGCAUUUUAAUUGCUGUAACUGGCAUAGGGUUGUGUGCGACAACACCACAAACCGAGUGAUCGAACUAGAUCUUUUUAAUGUAAAUUAUGACGGUCUCAAUGCAGUCGAAGACUUGUAUCUCAAUGCGUCUUUGUUUCUGCCUUUCAAAGAACUGGAGAUUCUCGACUUAAGAGACAACCAAUUAGUUGGUGGCUUAAAGAACCAAGGUUCUAUGCUUUCAAUUUUCUUUUAGAUAACACAUAAAGUUACUUUUAUUUCAAGUAACUUUACAUUGAAUCUUUAUGGAUAUUGGGAUGGUUGAUAUAUAAAUCUGUUAAUUGUCUUUGCUUCUGACAAUCUUCUUUCAGGUUUUCAAGUCCUAGCUUCAGGAUUGAGGAAUUUGAAAGAACUUUAUCUAACUUACAAUAAAUUGAACGACAGCAUUUUAUCAUCUUUCAGUGGUUUUUCAACUCUCAAAUCUCUAGAUCUAUCAGCCAAUAGGUUCACAGGAACAAUUGAUCUCAAAGGUAAAGUUAUAAAUCAUUCCUACCUCGCGUGACAUUCCUUAGUAUGCUUAAUUUAUUCUUUAGUAAACUUGUCUAAUAAUAGAAAAAAAUUACGCACGUAAGAAAUAACAGAAUCAUUCCUUUGUUUUCCUUCUGCUUAACAGAUGAUUAUAUUACAAUACACAAAAUGGAUACUUCCACUUUAUAUGUCAUAUGUUAGAAUUCAUGAAUAUUUGGUUAUUAAAAUAUUGAUAUAAUGUCAAAAAAUUAACACAAAAAUUUAUAUUUCAUUGAAUUUAUAUGGAUAUUGGGAUGGUUGAUAUAUAUAUAUAUAUAUAUAUAUAUAUAUAUAUAUAUAUAUAUAUAUAUAUGCUAAUUUCUUUGCUUCUGACAAUUUUCUUUCAGGUUUUCAAGUGCUAGUCUCAGGGUUGAGGCAAUUAGAGGAACUUGAUUUAAGUUACAAUAAAUUUGACGAUAGCAUUCUAUCAUCUCUUAGUGGAUUUUCAACUCUCAAAUCUUUAAAUCUAUCAGGCAACACGUUCACAGGAUCAACUGGUCUCAAUGGUAAACUUAUAAAUCAUUCCUACUUUGGAUGCCAUUCCCUCGUGAGAUUUAAUAAUUACAUGUGUAUUAACCCUUAAGUAAUUUUUUGGAUGAAGCCUUAAAAAGGCUUUAUAUAAUUAAUUCUUUAACGAGUGAAAUAAUUUGAAACUUACAUAUACAUGCUAUUAAUUUUUGUUCAAUUUCUUAAUUUAUUUUUAAAUAAAUGAAGGUGAAUAUUUAAUUAACAAAAUUUUAAUAUCAUAUUAAAAAUUAUUUUAAUUUUAAAACUUAAGCUAUGUAUAUUAACUCUAACAUUAUAAAUUAUUUAAAUAUUGUAAAUAAUUAUUAUUGAUUGUUCUCUCUAUCACAGGUUUAAGGAGAUUAGAAACCUUGUAUCUGGAUUCAACUGACUUCAAGGAAAGCGUUUUGAUAGAGUCAUUGGGAGCGUUGUCAUCCCUCAAGACCUUAUAUGCCAGUGGUAGUAAGUUUACACACUUUAGGAAAGGUCAGUGACAGUUUUGAUGCCUAAAACAAUGUGAUAUUUAUAAUAUAUUGAUGGAUUUAUUUGAUCUGUUCCACAGGGUUGUGGAAUUCGACUAGCCUUGAAAAAGUGUCCCUCGGUUAUUCUUCUCUCCCAGCAAGCUUUCUUAGGAACAUUGGACCCUUGUCUACUCUUAAAGUCUUGUCCUUGAACGGAGUUGACUUCAAUAGCACCCUACCUGCCCAAGGUAAUUAAAAUCUAAUCUUUAUACAAAUCCAUGGAAGAACAAUUAAAGAACCUCCUUCAAUUCAAAUAACAUUGUUCAUUAAUAUUUGUGUUAUAGAAAAGGAUAAAAUCUAGAGUUUUUCAAUCUUAAAUUAUAGAAAAAACUUUGAGUAAAAAAAGUUAUGAAUAUCAAUAAUCUAGAUAAUUAAUCUCUAAAAAAACUAACAAACAAAGUUGUUUAAAUAAAAUCUAAAACCGACAUAGCUAAUGAAACAAAAAUCAACUAAAACUUUAAAACCUCACUAAGCAAUUACAUAAUUCAUAUAUUCAUAUUCCCUUAACAUGAACAUAUGAAUAUAUUCUCCAGGUUGGUGUGAACUGAAGAAUCUUGAACAUCUAUUUCUCUCGGGAAACAAUCUAAAGGGCGUACUCCCUCCUUGUUUUGGAAAUCUAUCAUUUCUACAAUUCUUGGAUUUAUCUGACAAUCAAUUGGAGGGAAAUAUUGCUUUUAGUCACCUUUCCCAUCUUACGCAGCUCAGAUACCUCAAAGUUUCAAAUAACUACUUUCAAGUUCCAAUAUCAUUUGGUUCAUUUAUGAACCUCUCCAGCCUCAAGUUCAUUGAAUGCGAUAACAAUGAGCUAAUAGCUGCACCUAGUUUUCAGCCUUCAGCUCCCAAGUUCCAGCUUCUUUUCUUUAGUGCUUCAAAUUGUACUCCAAAACCACUCGAGGCUGGAUUUCCAAACUUCCUCCAUAGCCAACAUGAUUUGGAGUUUGUUGAUCUAUCCCACAACAAGUUCGUUGGAGAACCUUUCCCAUAUUGGCUGUUUGAGAAUAAUACAAAGUUAAAUCGACUAUAUUUGAGAGACACCUCAAUUACAGGUCCUUUGCAGCUGCCACAACAUCCAACACCCAACCUUCACACAGUAGAUAUUUCUGGCAACACCAUACAUGGUCAAAUUGCAAGGAACAUAUGUUUGAUUUUUCCACGUUUGAACAACUUCAUGAUGGCUAACAACAGCCUCACAGGUUGUAUUCCUCCUUGUUUUGUUUUGGGAAUAUGAGCUCUCUCAGAUACUUGGAUCUUUCCAACAAUCAUAUGUCUUGUGAACUGCUUGAGCAUAAUUUGCCAACAAAGGGCUCCUUGUGGUUUUUGAAGCUGUCCAAUAACAACUUCAAUGGGCGAUUACCACCAUCUGCGAUCAACAUUACUUACCUAUUUUACCUCUUUCUAGAUGGAAACAAAUU
RNAcentral lists this long non-coding RNA (28906 nucleotides) under Populus tremula. Its description in RNAcentral is "long non-coding RNA (PTRE_LNC003196)". The stretch from base 21413 to 21505 matches the Rfam family "MIR478 microRNA precursor family". Lineage: Eukaryota; Viridiplantae; Streptophyta; Magnoliopsida; Malpighiales; Salicaceae. The record is from RNAcentral.